CUCUGUCCUUCUAUCCUAGCCCUAUGCCCCCCAUCACAACUGCUAUCAACUCACCAGAGCCCUGCCCUGGCACCACAGUACCUAUACCCAAGCUCUGCCCCUUCAUUCCCUCAACACAUUCUGUAUCACCCAACACACACAACAGUCCCAAUGAUCUCAAAAUGCACACUACAGCCAUUAUUCCCUGCACUCAUAAACUACUGACCUGAUCUCCCC
Pelobates cultripes (western spadefoot toad) is the source of this 216-nucleotide non-coding RNA. The record is from the annotation of a GenBank genome assembly. NCBI's taxonomy places the organism in Eukaryota, Metazoa, Chordata, Amphibia, Anura, Pelobatidae.